GCUCAGUAACGCGUAGCUAACCUACUCUUAAGUCAGGGAUAUUCUCGGGAAACUGAGGUUAAUACCUGAUAGAAGAUUUACCCUGGAAAGAUUUAUCUCUCAAACUCGUGCCUAAGGAUGAGGCUGCGGCGGAUUAGGUUGUUGGCGGGGUAAUGGCCCACCAAGCCGAUGAUCCGUAAGGGCUCUUAGCGGAGAGGCCCUGAGAGGGAAUCUGAGACACUAUUCCCAGCCCCACGGGGUGCAGCAGUUAGGAAUAAUCUACAAUGCACGCAAGUGUGAUAGUUUGAGCCAGAGUGCUUUUCUAUUUGAAAAGCUUUUGCUGAAUGUAAAAAGUUUGGCGAAUAAGGACUGGGUAAGACUAGUGCCAGCCCGCCGCGGUAAUACUAGCGGUCCAAGUCGGCAGCCAUUUUUAUUGGGUCUAAAACAUCCCGUAGCUUGUUUGAUAAGUUUCCUGUGAAAUUUCGUGUCUUAAACGCGAAGCGGGCAAGAAGUACUUAUCAAGCUAGGAGACUGGGGAGACGUAAGGAGUACGUUCGAAGUAACGGUAAAAUGGGUUAAUCUCGGACCGACUAACACCGCGAGGCACCUACGAAAACAGUUCUGACGUAAGAUGAAGGCUAGGGCGCAAACGGAUUAAUACCGUGUGUCCUAGCAUAA
Molecule: ribosomal RNA, 657 nt
Filed under: uncultured archaeon
Lineage: Archaea
Description: bacterial SSU rRNA
Rfam family: Archaeal small subunit ribosomal RNA
Source: RNAcentral